This 465-nucleotide ribosomal RNA is filed under the name Vreelandella stevensii. Its description in RNAcentral is "partial 16S ribosomal RNA". It matches the Rfam family "Bacterial small subunit ribosomal RNA", at positions 338 to 795 of the family's 1533-position model. Lineage: Bacteria; Pseudomonadati; Pseudomonadota; Gammaproteobacteria; Oceanospirillales; Halomonadaceae. The record is from RNAcentral.
CCUACGGGUGGCAGCAGUGGGGAAUAUUGGACAGUGGGGGCAACCCUGAUCCAGCCAUGCCGCGUGUGUGAAGAAGGCCCUCGGGUUGUAAAGCACUUUCAGUGAGGAAGAACGCCUGGUGGUUAAUACCCAUCAGGAAAGACAUCACUCACAGAAGAAGCACCGGCUAACUCCGUGCCAGCAGCCGCGGUAAUACGGAGGGUGCGAGCGUUAAUCGGAAUUACUGGGCGUAAAGCGCGCGUAGGUGGCUUGAUAAGCCGGUUGUGAAAGCCCCGGGCUCAACCUGGGAACGGCAUCCGGAACUGUCAAGCUAGAGUGCAGGAGAGGAAGGUAGAAUUCCCGGUGUAGCGGUGAAAUGCGUAGAGAUCGGGAGGAAUACCAGUGGCGAAGGCGGCCUUCUGGACUGACACUGACACUGAGGUGCGAAAGCGUGGGUAGCAAACAGGAUUAGAUACCCUGGUAGUC